AACGCGAAGAACCUUACCUGGUCUUGACAUCCCCCUGAAAGCGCAGUAGUGUGCGCGUUCCUUCGGGACAGGGGAGACAGGUGGUGCAUGGUUGUCGUCAGCUCGUGUCGUGAGAUGUUGGGUUAAGUCCCGCAACGAGCGCAACCCUUAUCCUUAGUAGCCAGCACGUUAUGGUGGGCACUCUGGGGAGACUGCCGGGGAUAACCCGGAGGAAGGCGGGGAUGACGUCAAAUCAUCAUGCCCCUUAUGGCCAGGGCUACACACGUGCUACAAUGGCGUAAACAAAGGGAAGCGAAGUGGUGACACGGAGCAAAUCCCAAAAAUAACGUCUCAGUUCGGAUUGUAGUCUGCAACUCGACUACAUGAAGCCGGAAUCGCUAGUAAUCGCGGAUCAGAAUGCCGCGGUGAAUACGUUCCCGGGUCUUGUACACACCG
This 435-nucleotide ribosomal RNA is filed under the name uncultured bacterium. RNAcentral's name for it is "bacterial SSU rRNA". It matches the Rfam family "Bacterial small subunit ribosomal RNA", at positions 958 to 1392 of the family's 1533-position model. The record is from RNAcentral.